This 3542-nucleotide long non-coding RNA is filed under the name Sinocyclocheilus anshuiensis. RNAcentral's name for it is "lncRNA (ENSSANG00000014838.1)". Lineage: Eukaryota; Metazoa; Chordata; Actinopteri; Cypriniformes; Cyprinidae. The record is from RNAcentral.
GGUUGAAGAAAGUCGCAUGUGUUAAAGUACUUCACCAUAUGCUUGAUGUUAUCGCAUGGUGCGUGCGUUACUCUUGUCAUUUUUUUACACUAUAAACGGUUGUCAAUAGUAAAGUGAAAGUAAACGAGAACUAUUUGUUCAUGAAAUCACUGCUGCGUCAUGCAAUUAUUACCUACAGAGAGCAGAUUAUAGUAACGAUUAAGCAGAAGCUCAAGGGAGGGCAAAAUACUACGACAUCUUCAAGUGCACCAAUCAUAUUACAAGUUCCUCAAACCAUAAACACUUACUUUCCGGUUCUGCAUUCAAUAUGAGUCUCGUCUGUCUGGAUGGAAGCAGAGAGGAGAGGGAUGAAGUGUUGCGUUGUGGGCGAAUGAAGCAAUCGAAUGCAAAGGAAUUUCUUUCUGAACCUGGACCUUUUUAACAAUGUACACUUGGCGGUGCUUCCUCGCCAUUGUAUUUGUACUUGUUUGGUACUUCUCAGAGUUUGGACAAAUAUGGACACAAGCUUUCGUUUGUUUUUUAUGCUUUUUCAAUUUCCCUUUCAAAAAGCAAGACCGUGAAACAAGCACUCAGACGGAUGACACACUUGAAGAAACAGAACAACAGACAAAGAAAGCUCACCAUGUUGGUGUCAGUGAUGAGACUGAUGCAGCCGCACAAACUGAGUCUGAGACAAAGCAUUAUCCAAAUGUACAGAGGUCACUCCUCCAGGUGUUUAAAUGUGCCUAUGCUCACCUGGUCCAGCCGUGGUACACAGUCCCAGAACUUGGCGACGGUCAGCCCCUUCAUAGGGCACUACAGAAGGAGUUUAACCUGGUAGUCGAGAGAGUCAUUUGCAAGACAAAGAACUUUGAUCUGUCUGCUACCAGUGUGGGUUGUGUUAGGAUCUUCACUCAGCACCUGCAUAACGCAAAGCAGUCAGAUGGCUCUCCAGUGUUCGGUUCAAGGUCUGAGGAGAUGGCAGUCCUCAGGAUCUUUUCUGAAGCUCUAGUGCGAAACCUUUUUCCUGAGUACCUUUGGGAAGCAAAACUCUACCAGUGUGUCCUAACUGAGAUUGUUGCUACAAAAGCUCUUGAUGUGCUCGUGACAUGCCUCUGUAAUCCAGACAACCUGAAUCAGAUGGUGGUUUUGCAGCUGGAUAGAGUAACCUCUAAAAGCUCAACAGGAGACCUGCUAAACUCAGAUAGGGAAGGCACACCAUCUUCCGUGGGAAGUGAAGAAGCAGAAGUAUUGACAGAUGAAGCAGAGGAUGGUCGGUCUGAAGACACAAAAGAAAAGAAGAAGGGCAAUGGGAUCAAAGAACGAUUUUCUAAAUUUGUUGAUAAGGUCAAGUCAAAGAAAGCCAAAAAGAAAAACCAUAAGAAGAAGAAGGAGCAAGAGCUUUUACAGAGGGCUUUAUCAGCACGAAGAUCUGCUGUUAUUGAAGAUGAUUGUGCAAGCAGCAGAGAGGGCUCCUUUAGAAGCGGCAUGGACUAUGGCAUGGAUUAUGACAGUGAAAUGGAUGUUUACCUAACAACAAAUGUCCAAGAGGAUAUGAUGGAGUUUAGGCUUUCCUAUGAGAUGUGGCGGGUGGGGAAGUGGGCAGUCCGUGUUACAAAUGUUCAAAAGGAAAAUGAAGAGCUGUGUUUCACGCUUCACCUGGAGGAGAAAAAUAACCCUGAGAAUCUCAACUGGGAUGUAAAAAAGACCCAAUCAGAAAUACUUCAGUUUCACAGCCUCUGGCAGGAUACUUCCACUUUACCCUCUAUAUCUGCAAUAGUAGAGAAAACAAAGCAGGAUCUUGAUGGUGCAUAUGCAGAAGAAGUUGGAUCAGCCUUGGAGCACUUUUUACAAGAGCUGGUUUCUGAUGCACAGCUUGGUCACACUCAGCCUGUAUUCCAGUUCUUGUGUCCCAUUGUACAGCUGCUUAGUAAUAAGGAACAUAAGGGAGGUGUCUGGAGUUUUCUGAAUGGACUUGCAAGCUUUCUUAAUCCUGGCCAAGAUGAGGAUGAGUCCCAUAAUCCCAGAAGAGAAGAAAAGCUUGAUGGAGCAGGAGCCUCAGUUCAUAACAGUGGACAGUCGACAGCACAGCCAGCCUGCAUCGACACCGAUGAAGAGCCAAAGGGGGGCAUUGUAGAAGGACCAAACGAAGAAACUGACGCCUUCAAAAGUAGAGAACCAGAUAUGGAAGAUCAGACCUCUGAUGAGCAGGAUGUGGUUUCAGAUGGACAAGAGAGUCUUGCUGAAAGUUUAGAUAUCUUUGUUAAUAGGUCAAAAUUAGUCAGUCCUUCAGGACACUCCAGUGAUAUCUCAAGCUCAGUCAUGAACCAUACUGAAGGUUUACAGUCUGACUCAGUCGAUGGCUUUACAAGUGCUCAGUCUGGGGGCAAAACAAACAAAAAAGAAAAGUUAACUAAAAAAAAGUUAAAUGGACCUCAAAAGGUCAAAGUAAAAGAGAAAACGGGACAGCUCAAGGACGAGAUGGCAAAUCAGCCUCAGGCACAGAAAAAGGAACCCCAGAACAACUGGGACCAAGUUGAGGCCACCAAAGCCAUAUUUGAGUUAGUUAAGGAAAUAACGGGUAACUCAGUCCUCAUUAACAUUGUUGAUGCCAUUCUAAAAGCAGUCCAGCCUUUGGUAAAGAAGAAAAUAACCAACUUUUUAAAAAAGAUGCAUCCCACUGAAGCUCAGAUUGCGUCCUACAUUGACAAUUUCCGGGAGAAGAUAUGGCCAGAAGGAAACGCGCCCAUCCAGCCGCCACGUGACAGUGAGGAGAAACACGAGACCAAGGAGAAGGCUUUGCAGCUUAUAAAUUCAAAAUAUUCAAACUCUCUAAUUCUCAAGAAGACUGAUGUUGAAACUGUGUUCAAGAUCUUCCAGGACACUGAGGAGAACAAGAAACUGGUUUAUAUGCUGCUGUCAUACAUUCUUGGGGAGUUCCUACCUGGGGAGCCUGCCUUCAAUGCAAUAGCUAAUCUAACUGUGAAGGAUUUUGUUUCAUAACUGAUAGAUCUUUUUUUAUGUAAUUUGUCUAAUGUUGUAAAAUGUGCAUUAUUUAAUAUUUUAUGUGUAUAUUCUUCAAGGAUGCAUUGUGAUAUACCUCAGAGAGGUCAGCCUUUUACUUUCACUUUGAGCAAUGUGAACACUUAAGAUUUCUUGAUAAUUUUUUUUAAUUGAACAAAAAUGCCAGCCUCUGUUAAAUGUAGCAUUUUAACAAAUGCACUGUAAUUAUGUUUCACUUCAAUAAUGUCACCAAUAGUUGGGUGUAAAUUUUUUUUAACUCAUUUAAAAAAAUGAUCACUGUAUAUGUAAGUUCACUUUUUGUUUCGUACCUUAAAAAUGUACACUGUGAAGAACUGAUUUUCUAUUUUAAUAAACAGCACAGGUUACUCAGGACAAAACAGAUAAAGUCAUUGUGAUACUUUGAUGAUAAUUUUACAAGACUUAAUCAGUACACGGUCUGUGAGGAAUGUAUUCGAAUAAUAAUAAUGCCAAUAAAUAUAUUUUACUACUAACCGCGAGUGAUUUAAUUUCUUGCCCAUUAGUAAACCGUAAAAUAAGUA